GCCGGCGUGGCUCAGUGGUUGAGCGUCCACCUAUGAACCAGGAGGCCCCAGGUUCAAUUCCUGGUUGGGGCA
RNAcentral lists this transfer RNA (72 nucleotides) under Myotis davidii. It matches the Rfam family "tRNA". Rfam says of the family: Transfer RNA (tRNA) molecules are approximately 80 nucleotides in length. Their secondary structure includes four short double-helical elements and three loops (D, anti-codon, and T loops). Further hydrogen bonds mediate the characteristic L-shaped molecular structure. tRNAs have two regions of fundamental functional importance: the anti-codon, which is responsible for specific mRNA codon recognition, and the 3' end, to which the tRNAs corresponding amino acid is attached (by aminoacyl-tRNA synthetases). tRNAs cope with the degeneracy of the genetic code in two manners: having more than one tRNA (with a specific anti-codon) for a particular amino acid; and 'wobble' base-pairing, i.e. permitting non-standard base-pairing at the 3rd anti-codon position. Lineage: Eukaryota; Metazoa; Chordata; Mammalia; Chiroptera; Vespertilionidae. The record is from Rfam by way of RNAcentral.